Long non-coding RNA from Cataglyphis hispanica, 2139 nucleotides. RefSeq lists it as uncharacterized. The record is from RefSeq and is a predicted model, not a curated record. The transcript has 3 exons. NCBI's taxonomy places the organism in Eukaryota, Metazoa, Arthropoda, Insecta, Hymenoptera, Formicidae.
CUCUGUGCGUCGUUGUAUUAUACGUAUAUUUCUCGAGGUAUGAUUUCGACAAAUAUCAAGUGCCAAACACAAUUAACAAAGAAUUAAAGAUUGUCAGUCAGUGGAAGUAAUUAAUUCUCGCAAUAAUCGCGUCUCUGAAUUAAUCGCACUAUCUGAAUAAAGUUGUUGAUGCCAUUUUCCAAUUUCUUUCUCAUUAACAAAACAUCGCGGACACACUAAACGAUUUGCUUCAUUAUGGUAAUACGUAUAAUUAAUAAAUACAGCCCUUAUUAAUUCCGUAUUUUAAUGUUUCUUCAGUGUCAGUCGAGUAUUCGACUUUGUACAUCAAAAUAAUCACGUAAAACAUGAAUUUUAUCAAAUUUAAUCACGCAAGCUAAUAAAAUAAUAUAUUUUUAUUAUUAAAUAUUUAUUUUGAUUUUAUAUAUAAUUCAUAUAUCUAUUUUUAUCUUAAAAUACAUACGUAUACUAUUUGUUAAAAAUAGAGAUGGACCGUAUAUGGUCCGUUAUAGAUAGAAAGAGCAAUUUUUAAUGCCGAAUCAUAACUUUGUGUAAGGUCAUAAUUUCGAUAUUCGCAUACUUUCGUCGCUAUAUAAAAUAAAGUGCGUCGCGUGUAAGAUGAACGUUGAGAAUAUUGUGUAAGAUACCGCGAUCGUUGUACUUUGGUGAUUAGUGCGCGUGAUCAUAAUUAAUUGUGUUCACAUAAGUGAGUUGUGUGAGUGCCAUAAAGGAGCAACAAAGGAGAGGACAAACAAAAGAGAAGAAAUGGUCCAGAAAGACAUUAGAAGACAGCAAUCAUUAGAUCAAUAAACGACCAAUAUCAUUUCAAUAUUUGACAAUAGUUUAAUACUGCGAUCAGUAAAUGAACAGAAGAAUAGUAAGAACUUGGAUGCGGCCCUGAGAGUAGCAACCGGCCUGCGUCGAGGACACCAGGAACAUUUCGCGAGCGAGGCCGCCGAGAGGAGAGAGGCAGAUGAUAGGAGUAAAAAGCCCAUUUGCGGCGAAAAAUCAUUUGCCGCUUGUCCAUAUUGUGUUUGUUCGUGCGGGUUUAUAGAGCUGUUGAUACGAGUGGUUUAACAUAUCGCUCGGCAUAUCCUAGUAAGUAAAAUGACAUGUUUCGUGGAUGGAUGAUCAAAGAUUCGAUUUAAAAAAAUAGUCUCUGUAUCGCAUUUCCAGAAAGAAUAUUCGUUCAUUGAGGAAAUUUACGAUUGACAAGAGCGGUAAGAACUUCAACGAUUAUUAUGGAAAUGUGCAUAUAUAAUGCGGUAGAAAAAAAAAGCAGUAGUUUGCAAAAUUAUAUAUCUUAAAUUUUCAUCCUUUAUUUCAAUGAUAGAGCGCAUCGAUUUAUCGUAACAACAUUAUCGAUAUGAAACUGUUUUUGACAUUUCUUAUUUUAUCGCUGCGAUUUUGAAGCGUAAAUGUAAUACUUAAAAAUUUAAUGCGUCGUGACAGGACACGAAAGAUGAUGUAUAGGGUGAUCGAAUUGAAAACACAAAUUACUGAUAUGCAAUAUAUGUAUCUAUAUAUCGCGCGAUAUAUAUAUAAUGACGUAAAGUAUUUCUUAAAGUACCGCAACACAUAUGUACAGUACAGAGUUCACGAUAAAUUUCCAUUAACUCUUUAUCGGCCAUUUAUAUAUACAUUGCCCGUACAUUCGUCUUGACAGAGAGAGAGGAGAUGCAUUUCGGUAUCAAAAACAAUAAGAGACGGAAAAAAAAUAAAAAGUAAACUUAAAAAUUACACCACUUCACUUAUUUGUCUCUUCGUUUCACUACAAGAAUAAUCUAUAUGUAUAGAGGAGUUGCUUGCUGGAACAUGAUGUUAAAUAUUCAAAAAAAGAUGCAACGCACGAUAUACUGUCCCAUAUCAUGAUAAACUGUUCCUGUAUGCAAGUGCAAAUUUAACAAUGAAAAAAGAUAUAAUUAUCAUUUCUUCGUCAAUGAGUAAACAUUAAUCUAAAUCAAUUAUUAAAUCGACGAAUAAUCAUUUAUCUCGAUAUAUUAUUAUAGAUAUAGUAAAUAUAAAUUGUGAGAAAGAGAGUACAAUUUUUCAAGGAUAAAUAAAGAUAUAAAGAAAGUGACUACACUCACAUUAAAGCUUCAUUUCUUUUGAUCAAUCUAUUACUUGUUAAAAAUCCACGGA